Molecule: ribosomal RNA, 1569 nt
Filed under: Beauveria amorpha
Lineage: Eukaryota; Fungi; Ascomycota; Sordariomycetes; Hypocreales; Cordycipitaceae
Description: SSU rRNA
Rfam family: Bacterial small subunit ribosomal RNA
Source: RNAcentral
AAUAUAGUUGAGUUUGGUGAUGGCUCUGAUUGAACACUGUCCAAGUGCUUGACACAUGCUAAUCGAACGUUUUAAUUAAGAGUGGUUUAGCUUAUCAUGUAAGUAAUAGGCUUCGCCUCUUCAUAAUUAAAAAGUGGUGUACAGGUGAGUAUAAUAAUAUUUAUGCCGGCCUUAGAGUGAAGAUAAAUUCUUCAUAUAAUAAAGGGAUUAAGUAUUCCCGCUUUAAGAGGAUGAUAAAUAUUUUCGGGAUAGGUAGUAGUGAAGGUUAUGUCUUCACUAGCCUUAACUCUCGUAGUCGAAGCUGAAAGGUUGAUCGACCACAUUGGGUCUGAAAAAAGCCCAAUGCAAGUUAGUACAGCAGUGAGGAAUAUUGGUCAAUGGCCUAACGGCUGAACUGGCAACUUGGAGAAGUGUUAAGUCUUUAUUUUUGUAUUGUAAUAGGCUACGUUUUAAUAAACUAUAUGUAAAUAUAGUGCUUAGGCGGAGCUUACUAACACACAAAUUAAAGAUUAAAUUAGUAUUGAAUGAAACUUUGUUUAUAUAUCGAUAAUGACGAUAUAUAUAUUAUGUCUUGACCAAUUACGUGCCAGCAGUCGCGGUAAUACGUAAGAGACUAGUGUUAUUCAUCUUAAUUAGGUUUAAAGGGUACUCAAACGGUCUGUUUUGCACAAAAGACUAGAGUUAUAUAGAAGAAGGUAGUACCUUAAGUGUAGAGAUAAAAUUUUGUUAUACUGGAGGGACUUAGAAAAGGCGUAGGCAACCUUCUAAGUAAUAACUGACGUUGAAGGACGAAGGCAUAGGUCACGAACAGGACUAGUAACCCAAGUAGUCUUUGCAGUCAAUGAUGAAUGCCAUAGGUUAGAUAAAAAUUUAGUCUAUAAAUGAAAAUGUAAGCAUUUCACCUCAAGAGUAAUGUGGCAACGCAGGAACUGAAAUCACUAGACCGUUUCUGACACCAGUAGUGAAGUAUGUUGUUUAAUUCGAUGAUCCACGAAAAACCUUACCACAAUUUGUAUAUUUUACAGGAGUUGCACGGCUGUCUUCAGUUGAUGUUGUGAAACUGUGGUUUCCAUGAAUUAACGCAAUCCCUUGCUUUAUUUUUGUUCGUACAAACUAAGGCUUAGUUAAAGCUAUAUUUAGUUACUAUAAAGCAUUUGACCCUAUAAUUUGGGAAGAAAAAAGGGAGUAAGACAAGUCAUCAUGGCCUUAAUAUUGUGGGCUAUAGACGUGCCACAUAAGCCUAUACAAAGAGAUGCGAAAAUGUGAAUUCUAGCAAAUCUCCAAAAUAGGAAAUAAAAAGGAUUGUAGUCUGAAAUUCGACUAUAUGAAUAAGUAAUUACUAGUAAUCGUGAAUCACCAUGUCACGGUGAAUAUUUAUCGGAUUGGUACUAACCACUCGUCGCAUGCUGAAAGGAGUUUAUACAAUAAGUUUGCUCUUUUAUAGUAAAAAAAUAAAAUAAUUAGAUUUUGUAUAUAUUAUUAUAAAAUUCUUCGCAUGUAUAGCUCUAAUUAGUGUUAAGUCGAAAUACGGUUCGCGUAGUGGAAGUUGCGCGGGAAUAAUUGAUCCUG